UCCGGAAUGGUGUAGUGGCUAGCAUUUCUGCCUCUCAUUAGCUGUUGGAAUAAAACAGUUGAAGUGUUCGCAGGAGACCGGGGUUCAAUUCCCCGUUCCGGAA
RNAcentral lists this transfer RNA (103 nucleotides) under Cadophora sp. MPI-SDFR-AT-0126. RNAcentral describes it as "Leotiomycetes sp. MPI-SDFR-AT-0126 tRNA". It matches the Rfam family "tRNA". From Rfam's summary of the family: Transfer RNA (tRNA) molecules are approximately 80 nucleotides in length. Their secondary structure includes four short double-helical elements and three loops (D, anti-codon, and T loops). Lineage: Eukaryota; Fungi; Ascomycota; Leotiomycetes; Helotiales; Ploettnerulaceae. The record is from Rfam by way of RNAcentral.